CCUGGCUCAGGACGAACGCUGGCGGCGUGCUUAACACAUGCAAGUCGAACGGAAAGGCCCUGCUUUUGUGGGGUGCUCGAGUGGCGAACGGGUGAGUAACACGUGAGUAACCUGCCCUUGACUUUGGGAUAACUUCAGGAAACUGGGGCUAAUACCGGAUAGGAGCUCCUGCUGCAUGGUGGGGGUUGGAAAGUUUCGGCGGUUGGGGAUGGACUCGCGGCUUAUCAGCUUGUUGGUGGGGUAGUGGCUUACCAAGGCUUUGACGGGUAGCCGGCCUGAGAGGGUGACCGGCCACAUUGGGACUGAGAUACGGCCCAGACUCCUACGGGAGGCAGCAGUGGGGAAUAUUGCACAAUGGGCGGAAGCCUGAUGCAGCAACGCCGCGUGCGGGAUGACGGCCUUCGGGUUGUAAACCGCUUUCGCCUGUGACGAAGCGUGAGUGACGGUAAUGGGUAAAGAAGCACCGGCUAACUACGUGCCAGCAGCCGCGGUGAUACGUAGGGUGCGAGCGUUGUCCGGAUUUAUUGGGCGUAAAGGGCUCGUAGGUGGUUGAUCGCGUCGGAAGUGUAAUCUUGGGGCUUAACCCUGAGCGUGCUUUCGAUACGGGUUGACUUGAGGAAGGUAGGGGAGAAUGGAAUUCCUGGUGGAGCGGUGGAAUGCGCAGAUAUCAGGAGGAACACCAGUGGCGAAGGCGGUUCUCUGGGCCUUUCCUGACGCUGAGGAGCGAAAGCGUGGGGAGCGAACAGGCUUAGAUACCCUGGUAGUCCACGCUGUAAAC
This 778-nucleotide ribosomal RNA is filed under the name Cutibacterium acnes. RNAcentral's name for it is "bacterial SSU rRNA". It matches the Rfam family "Bacterial small subunit ribosomal RNA", at positions 18 to 807 of the family's 1533-position model. Lineage: Bacteria; Bacillati; Actinomycetota; Actinomycetes; Propionibacteriales; Propionibacteriaceae. The record is from RNAcentral.